This 373-nucleotide ribosomal RNA is filed under the name uncultured eukaryote. RNAcentral's name for it is "partial 18S ribosomal RNA". It matches the Rfam family "Eukaryotic small subunit ribosomal RNA", at positions 592 to 976 of the family's 1831-position model. The record is from RNAcentral.
CAAUAGCGUAUAUUAAAGUUGUUGCAGUUAAAAAGCUCGUAGUUGAAUUUUUGCUUGCCGCCGAUGUCGGAACUUCCGUACGUUCGGCGGCGUGCAUCCUUGGGUGGAACCUGUGUGGCAUUAGGUUGUCGUGCAGGGGAUGCUCAUCGUUUACUGUGAAAAAUUUAGAGUGUUCAAAGCAGGCUUACGCCGUUGAAUAUAUUAGCAUGGAAUAAUAAGAUAGGACCUUGGUACUAUUUUGUUGGUUUGCGCACCGAGGUAAUGAUUAACAGGGACAGUUGGGGGUAUUCGUAUUCCAUUGUCAGAGGUGAAAUUCUUGGAUUUCUGGAAGACGAACUACUGCGAAAGCAUUUACCAAGGAUGUUUUCAUUAA